UGGAAGGGAUGGCGACAACGUUAUAUUCGAAAGGGAAUAACGCUGGAAUACCUUGCUAUUGCUACCUGUCAGAGUGCAUAAUUAUGAAGUAAAUUAGUCGGCACUGCUUAGUUGCCAAACUUGACAGUUGCUAAGACCUUCUGUCGACAAGAUACACAAACAUACAAUUCCAUGGUACUAUGUAGAGUAUUCAAAGAGGUCAUCUUCAUGAAGCUAGCAGAGGAUAGACAUUAG
Aegilops tauschii subsp. strangulata is the source of this 234-nucleotide non-coding RNA. NCBI's taxonomy places the organism in Eukaryota, Viridiplantae, Streptophyta, Magnoliopsida, Poales, Poaceae. The record is from RefSeq and is a predicted model, not a curated record.